AUUGAACGCUGGCGGCAUGCUUUACACAUGCAAGUCGUACGGUAACAGGCCGCAAGGUGCUGACGAGUGGCGAACGGGUGAGUAAUGCAUCGGAACGUGCCCAGUCGUGGGGGAUAACUACUCGAAAGAGUAGCUAAUACCGCAUACGAUCUAUGGAUGAAAGCGGGGGACCGUAAGGCCUCGCGCGAUUGGAGCGGCCGAUGUCAGAUUAGGUAGUUGGUGGGGUAAAGGCUCACCAAGCCAACGAUCUGUAGCUGGUCUGAGAGGACGACCAGCCACACUGGGACUGAGACACGGCCCAGACUCCUACGGGAGGCAGCAGUGGGGAAUUUUGGACAAUGGGCGCAAGCCUGAUCCAGCAAUGCCGCGUGCAGGAAGAAGGCCUUCGGGUUGUAAACUGCUUUUGUACGGAACGAAACGGCUCUGGUUAAUACCCGGGGCUAAUGACGGUACCGUAAGAAUAAGCACCGGCUAACUACGUG
RNAcentral lists this ribosomal RNA (482 nucleotides) under uncultured bacterium. RNAcentral's name for it is "partial 16S ribosomal RNA". It matches the Rfam family "Bacterial small subunit ribosomal RNA", at positions 30 to 507 of the family's 1533-position model. The record is from RNAcentral.